UGUUGUUUUCCCGUGAGGAUGUUAGCAAGCUAGGUUAAUAAUGCUACUAGUUUAGCUCUCGUUGUCCGAUAGCUAAUAUUCAUACGUAGCCGUUUAUAGUAACGCAUAUUCGGUAUUGUUUGCAUCAUAACUAUUCAGAAUCUUUUAAAGAAGUGUGUUCUUCAUGACCUUUAGUUGCUCAUGUUAUUUAGCUAGCUAGCUAAACUAGCCAGCAAACUGGCUAGGCUAACUUAACCAUCCUCGUAUCCUACCUAGUUCGAAUGCUAAUAAGCUAGCAAGCAAGCAAGCUAUUGUAAGGUUCAACAAGCUAGCUAUUUCGGUAAUUGAAGAUAAGUCUGCUCUGUAGUUUUCGUUUGACGAUCUGCCAACUAAUUUCUGUCAAGCCAUUAUAUAAGCGGUUGUAAAAACCCGAGGCAAAUUGCAAACACAAAGGGGCUACCAGGAUGGUGUGUGAGCUUCUCCUCUCCUCUGUGUGGCUGCUGUUUGUUGUGUUCUGGGUAGAGACCAUCAGUGUUUGGCUUUUCCUCUGUCUGUUUUAUCAGGACAGAGCCUUUUAUCAUUGGGGUGAUGGUGUGUUUGCUGAUGAUCCUGGCCAAAUGUUGUACAUGUUGAGCAGAGUGGAUCGCUCUGGGCACACCCAGACCUGAGGAUGAGGCCUCAUCAUCAGCUGGGAAGGCCAAUAGACCAAAACAUUAGAGAGUGUGAAGAGGAGUGGGGGCCAGCAGUGUUGGGGAGGAAAAAAUAGCAACCCAUCUACUCCUACUGUCUUUUGACAAUCUGUACUGGGUAUGAUGGUUUUUAAAGGUGGGCUGUGACUGAAAAUGGAGAAUUUGCACUGAGCUUGUGGAUGUUUCUGGAAGAAUGCACAGAGGCACAGUAAAUGUAGAAUGUAUUGGUGUUAAAAAUAACUGCCUUAAUUUCUAAUUUUCUGUCCCCUCAAAAAGGGACAAAGAGUAACGCAGGUAAAAUUCCCAUCUCAUGUUCUCAGAUUAGUGGGUUUUUUCAUGGAUGAUUGUAACUAUGAGCUGUGAAUGACAUGCUCUUAUUUUAGGGCUGUGUGAAUUUUAAAAAACGGCUUGAAUUAGCGAAGAUGAUGUACUCCUAUAAAUUAUGGCUCUGUGUCAACCUGUUUCAUUUAAAAAAUCUAUAUACUCUUUACAUUAAGGUUUAGGUCAGGCACGUUUGCUUGUAACUCAAGCAACCACUUUAACCAUUUUAGGCAAAAUACUAUCACCUUGUAAACACUGAAUGUUUUCAGGUGCUCUGAGCUGGAUUGUUUUGUCAUUUCACCUCAGAUCAAUUUGAAAUUAAACCUUUAAUGAAAUCAUGAUUUAUAAAAUAUUGAGACCACAAGAGGAAAAGGUAAGAGAAAGCUUACUCAUUUAGUUCUGGGGUCAAGUUCAAAACUAGAUAUCUUGGCCUAUAACACAACUGAAAAUAUCUCCAGAAACUGGUUUAAGAAUGUUCUGAACAGAUUACGACGACGACUACUACUGAUUCCCUGCUGUCAGUCAACACCCCCAGUGUCUUUAGACACUGCCUCUACUUUCAGAGGGGGUAUACAGUCAGGUCUUUGUGUAGGAGUGUCUGUAGUACAAAAGGAAAUGGCUUUAAUUAAUUAGAGCCCUUAUCUUCCAUAAAAUUUUUAAAAAUUAAAAUACAAUUUAACUUUUAGGAAUUUUUUUUUUGCGUAGGAAAAUAAUGUAUUUGUUAAUAAGGUAUUCUUAUUGUUCAGAUUCACAAGGCUUGUGAAACGAUAUAUGCACUACGGCGGAUCCCACCCACCCGAAUUGGCUUUUAGCGUGGGUAUUUUUGUUUUGUUUUUGCAAAGCAAUAAACCAGUGUAUCUGAAAAAAAUGA
Molecule: non-coding RNA, 1860 nt
Organism: Electrophorus electricus (electric eel)
Lineage: Eukaryota; Metazoa; Chordata; Actinopteri; Gymnotiformes; Gymnotidae
Source: RefSeq, a predicted model, not a curated record